This 315-nucleotide ribosomal RNA is filed under the name uncultured archaeon. RNAcentral's name for it is "bacterial SSU rRNA". It matches the Rfam family "Archaeal small subunit ribosomal RNA", at positions 1029 to 1343 of the family's 1478-position model. The record is from RNAcentral.
UUUAGUCAGGCAACAAGCGAGACCUGUAUCUACAAUUGCCAGCGAUAUCUUCGGAUAGAUUGGGCACAUUGUAGGAACUGCCUUGGAAACAAGGAGGAAGGUGCAGGCAACGGUAGGUCUGUAUGCCCCGAAUCCUCUGGGCUACACGCGCGCAACAAUGGUAUGGACAAUGGGAUGCAACUCCGAAAGGAGAAGCUAAACCUCUAAACCAUAUCCCAGUCCAGAUUGUGGUUUGUAACUCAGCCACAUGACGUUGGAAUCCCUAGUAACCAGACGUUAGCAUCGUCCGGUGAAUAUGUCCCUGCUCCUUGCACA